UUUAAAUGAGAUGACUGUCA
Molecule: microRNA, 20 nt
Filed under: Picea abies (Norway spruce)
Lineage: Eukaryota; Viridiplantae; Streptophyta; Pinopsida; Pinales; Pinaceae
Description: pab-miR11403
Source: miRBase by way of RNAcentral